RNAcentral lists this ribosomal RNA (1421 nucleotides) under uncultured bacterium. RNAcentral describes it as "bacterial SSU rRNA". It matches the Rfam family "Bacterial small subunit ribosomal RNA". The record is from RNAcentral.
AGAGUUUGAUCCUGGCUCAGGACGAACGCUGGCGGCGUGCCUAAUACAUGCAAGUCGAACGCUUCUUUUUCCACCGGAGCUUGCUCCACCGGAAAAAGAGGAGUGGCGAACGGGUGAGUAACACGUGGGUAACCUGCCCAUCAGAAGGGGAUAACACUUGGAAACAGGUGCUAAUACCGUAUAACAAUCGAAACCGCAUGGUUUUGAUUUGAAAGGCGCUUUCGGGUGUCGCUGAUGGAUGGACCCGCGGUGCAUUAGCUAGUUGGUGAGGUAACGGCUCACCAAGGCGACGAUGCAUAGCCGACCUGAGAGGGUGAUCGGCCACAUUGGGACUGAGACACGGCCCAAACUCCUACGGGAGGCAGCAGUAGGGAAUCUUCGGCAAUGGACGAAAGUCUGACCGAGCAACGCCGCGUGAGUGAAGAAGGUUUUCGGAUCGUAAAACUCUGUUGUUAGAGAAGAACAAGGAUGAGAGUAACUGUUCAUCCCUUGACGGUAUCUAACCAGAAAGCCACGGCUAACUACGUGCCAGCAGCCGCGGUAAUACGUAGGUGGCAAGCGUUGUCCGGAUUUAUUGGGCGUAAAGCGAGCGCAGGCGGUUUCUUAAGUCUGAUGUGAAAGCCCCCGGCUCAACCGGGGAGGGUCAUUGGAAACUGGGAGACUUGAGUGCAGAAGAGGAGAGUGGAAUUCCAUGUGUAGCGGUGAAAUGCGUAGAUAUAUGGAGGAACACCAGUGGCGAAGGCGGCUCUCUGGUCUGUAACUGACGCUGAGGCUCGAAAGCGUGGGGAGCAAACAGGAUUAGAUACCCUGGUAGUCCACGCCGUAAACGAUGAGUGCUAAGUGUUGGAGGGUUUCCGCCCUUCAGUGCUGCAGCUAACGCAUUAAGCACUCCGCCUGGGGGAGUACGACCGCAAGGUUGAAACUCAAAGGAAUUGACGGGGGCCCGCACAAGCGGUGGAGCAUGUGGUUUAAUUCGAAGCAACGCGAAGAACCUUACCAGGUCUUGACAUCCUUUGACCACUCUAGAGAUAGAGCUUCCCCUUCGGGGGCAAAGUGACAGGUGGUGCAUGGUUGUCGUCAGCUCGUGUCGUGAGAUGUUGGGUUAAGUCCCGCAACGAGCGCAACCCUUAUUGUUAGUUGCCAUCAUUUAGUUGGGCACUCUAGCAAGACUGCCGGUGACAAACCGGAGGAAGGUGGGGAUGACGUCAAAUCAUCAUGCCCCUUAUGACCUGGGCUACACACGUGCUACAAUGGGAAGUACAACGAGUCGCAAAGUCGCGAGGCUAAGCUAAUCUCUUAAAGCUUCUCUCAGUUCGGAUUGUAGGCUGCAACUCGCCUACAUGAAGCCGGAAUCGCUAGUAAUCGCGGAUCAGCACGCCGCGGUGAAUACGUUCCCGGGCCUUGCACACACCGCCCGUCAA